Molecule: ribosomal RNA, 406 nt
Filed under: uncultured bacterium
Lineage: Bacteria
Description: partial 16S ribosomal RNA
Rfam family: Bacterial small subunit ribosomal RNA
Source: RNAcentral
AUUGAACGCUGGCGGCAGGCCUAACACAUGCAAGUCGAACGAGUGGCGGACGGGUGAGUAAUGUCUGGGAAACUGCCCGAUGGAGGGGGAUAACUACUGGAAACGGUAGCUAAUACCGCAUACCAUCGGAUGUGUCCAGAUGGGAUUAGCUAGUUGGUGGGGUAACGGCUCCACUAGGCGAAGAUCCCUAGCUGGUCUGAGAGGAUGACCGGCCACAGUGGAACUGAGACACUGUCCAGACUCCUACGGGCGGCAGAAGUGGGGAAUAUUGCACAAUGGGCGCAAGCCUGAUGCAGCCAUGCCGCGUGUAUUAAGAAGGCCUUAGGGUUGUAAAGUACUUUCAGCGAGGAGGCGUUACUCGCAGAAGAAGCACCGGCUAACUCCGUGCCAGCAGCCGCGGUAAUAC